Molecule: transfer RNA, 75 nt
Filed under: Rhodobacter phage RcXuper
Lineage: Duplodnaviria; Heunggongvirae; Uroviricota; Caudoviricetes
Description: tRNA-Ile
Rfam family: tRNA
About the family: Transfer RNA (tRNA) molecules are approximately 80 nucleotides in length. Their secondary structure includes four short double-helical elements and three loops (D, anti-codon, and T loops). Further hydrogen bonds mediate the characteristic L-shaped molecular structure. tRNAs have two regions of fundamental functional importance: the anti-codon, which is responsible for specific mRNA codon recognition, and the 3' end, to which the tRNAs corresponding amino acid is attached (by aminoacyl-tRNA synthetases). tRNAs cope with the degeneracy of the genetic code in two manners: having more than one tRNA (with a specific anti-codon) for a particular amino acid; and 'wobble' base-pairing, i.e. permitting non-standard base-pairing at the 3rd anti-codon position.
Source: RNAcentral
GGUGGGGUAGCUCAGCGGUAGAGCAGAGAACCGAUAAUUCUAAGGUCGAAGGUUCGAUCCCUUCUCCCACCACCA